AAGUCUUGACAUAAUACGGAGGGAAUUAGAGAUAGUUUCUUAAGACUUCGGUCUACUGUAUUACAGGUGGUGCAUGGUU
This 79-nucleotide ribosomal RNA is filed under the name uncultured Anaerococcus sp. Its description in RNAcentral is "partial 16S ribosomal RNA". Lineage: Bacteria; Bacillati; Bacillota; Tissierellia; Tissierellales; Peptoniphilaceae. The record is from RNAcentral.